CAGAUAACAGACCAAGAAGCUAUCUAUUAAAAGACAUAUGAAGGCAGCCCUGUUCAGGGACGUUUUUAGUGUUUGAUGUUUUAUUGUCUUUUUACUGUUUUUGGUUGAGAGCCAUCCAAAGUGGCUGGGGCAAUCCAGUCAGAUGAGCGGCAUAACAACAACAACAACAACGAGGGACAAGUGUCAAUGAAGACAGAGCAGCAGUCUGGUAAAUGCAAAGCAGCGGCCUGUAGUCUGUCUCAACAAUAAAUUGCUCAGAAGAAGGAUGUAUGGCAAACCUCAAGAGUAGGAAAUGUGGUGGGAUUGGAACAUAGGAAGCUAUCUCCUAUACCUAGUCAGACCACAGAUCCAUCUCGCUCAAAACUGUCUACUACGAAGCAGUUUUUCAGAGUCUCAGACAGAAGCCUUUCCCAGUUCUACCACAAGAUGCUGGGGAUUAAACCUAGGCUUUUGUACACAGAACCUGUGGUCUUCCAUUGACCCACAGUAAUUCCAAUACUGUACAUUUGAUCACCUAACCUGACCCAAGCACAGGAAGUUUGUUGGGCAAUAACAGGGGCCCCCAGCUGAGCCCUGCAGUCUUUGAUAGUAACUUAUCUUUCCCAUAUUAUCCAAUGAGUGGGGUCAUCUGGAGUUCUGGAGUACCUUGUCAGCAAUAUGCUGAUGACAUACAGCUCUACUUUUCCUUUGCAUCUGCAGGUAUGGCAGUGGAUGAGCUGGAAUAUUGUCGUGCCUCACUAACGGACUGGAUGAAAGCCAACAAACUGAAGCUCAAUCCAGAUAAGACUGAAGGUAGGAGGUUGCCUGCACUUGACGGGGUUACACUCCCUUUUAAGGAGCGGGUAUGUAGUUUGGGGGUACUCCUGGAUCCUUCGCUAUUGCAUGAGACCCAGGUGGCCUUGGUUGUGUGGACUGCCUUCCAUCAGCUUUGGCUGGUGGCCAUACUGCGCCUCUAUCAGGACAUGGAU
This is a non-coding RNA of Podarcis lilfordi (Lilford's wall lizard), 968 nucleotides long. The record is from the annotation of a GenBank genome assembly. NCBI's taxonomy places the organism in Eukaryota, Metazoa, Chordata, Lepidosauria, Squamata, Lacertidae.